Molecule: non-coding RNA, 92 nt
Filed under: Scrippsiella hangoei
Lineage: Eukaryota; Dinophyceae; Peridiniales; Peridiniaceae
Source: RNAcentral
CUUCGCAGUGCGCACACGGGGAGCUUGCUCCUAGAGAUGCUGCGAGGAAAGUCCCCGUGCCUCGGUGCAGAGAGUGCGAGUUGGAGACCGCA